This 601-nucleotide long non-coding RNA is filed under the name Pongo abelii (Sumatran orangutan). RNAcentral describes it as "lincRNA". Lineage: Eukaryota; Metazoa; Chordata; Mammalia; Primates; Hominidae. The record is from RNAcentral.
CCUGGAGGGACUUGUGCCUCUCUCAGUGGUAGUAGAGAGGCUACUUCUUCCUGCAACGGUCGCGACUGAGAGGCAAUGGGUGGCGAGCCUACAGGGGACGUCGUCGAGGAGAAAUGGGAUAACUUUAAGGGAGCAGGGUUUAAGGAGUGAGAGCAGAGCCAAGUCCUGGAGACACUGAACUUGCUGUCGCACCAGAAAAUGAGAUGUGUGGGGUAGGGGGCAGGGAUAAGGCAGAAAAGGACUACUCGGAUCAUUUUUAAGAUGGGAGAGUAGCCACAGAGGAACAGAGUAAGAAUCUAAACGAAGUAAAGCAGUACGGGCAUACGUUUCUUUACACGGUGUUCUACUUAAGGGCACAGGAAAAGUUACAGAAUGACAAAAGAGAAACUCCUGGAGGGCAGAGCUGUGCCUACCAUCUUCAUCAUUGCAUUACCACCACCCAGCACAGUGCCUGGCACAAAAGAGUUGCUCAAUACAUAAAUCAGGAUGAACAGAUAAAUACAUGGAUAGGCACUUUGGACUACAGAUGAGCUUAAAUACUUUGUGUUUUUCUUAGUCAAACAUGUGCAAUAAGCAAGUGAUAAAUGAUAUGAUGACCACA